This 253-nucleotide ribosomal RNA is filed under the name uncultured bacterium. Its description in RNAcentral is "partial 16S ribosomal RNA". It matches the Rfam family "Bacterial small subunit ribosomal RNA", at positions 524 to 776 of the family's 1533-position model. The record is from RNAcentral.
UACGUAGGGGGCAAGCGUUGUCCGGAUUUACUGGGCGUAAAGAGCGUGUAGGCGGCCAAGCAGGUCCGUUGUGAAAACUGGAGGCUUAACCUCCAGACGUCGACGGAAACCGCGUGGCUAGAGUCCGGAAGAGGAGAGUGGAAUUCCUGGUGUAGCGGUGAAAUGCGCAGAUAUCAGGAAGAACACCAAUGGCGAAGGCAGCUCUCUGGGACGUUACUGACGCUGAGACGCGAAAGCGUGGGGAGCAAACAGG